This 372-nucleotide ribosomal RNA is filed under the name uncultured Sphingobacteriales bacterium. Its description in RNAcentral is "bacterial SSU rRNA". It matches the Rfam family "Bacterial small subunit ribosomal RNA", at positions 1013 to 1382 of the family's 1533-position model. The record is from RNAcentral. Lineage: Bacteria; Pseudomonadati; Bacteroidota; Sphingobacteriia; Sphingobacteriales.
UACUUCUUCGGACAAUAGUACAAGGUGCUGCAUGGUUGUCGUCAGCUCGUGCCGUGACGGUGUCGGGUUAAGUCCCAUAACGAGCGCAACCCCUACCUUUACGUUGCCAUCAGGUUAAGCUGGGGACUCUAAAGGAACUGCCUACGCAAGUAGUGAGGAAGGCGGGGAUGACGUCGAAAUCAGCACGGCCCUUACGUCCAGGGCUACACACGUGCUACAAUGGCCGAUACAGAGGGCAGCUACCUGGUGACAGGAUGCAAAUCUCCAAAGUCGGUCUCAGUUCGGAUCGGAGUCUGCAACCCGACUCCGUGAAGUUGGAUUCGCUAGUAAUCGCGCAUCAGCCAUGGCGCGGUGAAUACGUUCCCGGGCCUU